This is a long non-coding RNA of Archocentrus centrarchus (flier cichlid), 194 nucleotides long. RefSeq lists it as uncharacterized. The record is from RefSeq and is a predicted model, not a curated record. Lineage: Eukaryota; Metazoa; Chordata; Actinopteri; Cichliformes; Cichlidae. The transcript is spliced from 3 exons.
CAGGAGAGCCACAAAUGAGCGGGCCAUCCACUUCAUCCUUUCAACAGGUUGACCAGACCUCUGCUUUUGUGCCUUUUAGUGGGACAGUAACUGGAGAACAGCUUAGAGCAAUACGCUGUCUACAAAAUCUAAAACGACAUCAUGAUCAGUGUGAGAAACGUUAUGAUGACGCUAAGAUGAAAAAUUAGAGAGAG